This 1375-nucleotide ribosomal RNA is filed under the name human gut metagenome. Its description in RNAcentral is "bacterial LSU rRNA". It matches the Rfam family "Bacterial large subunit ribosomal RNA", at positions 1034 to 2422 of the family's 2925-position model. The record is from RNAcentral.
UACAACUAAGGUCCCAAAGUACAAGUUAAGUGGUAAAGGAUGUGUCGACGCUAAAACAACCAGGAUGUUGGCUUAGAAGCAGCCACUCAUUUAAAGAGUGCGUAAUAGCUCACUGGUCGAGUAUCGGUGCGCCGAAGAUUAUCGGGGCUAAAACUUGUCACCGAAGUUUAGGGAUAUGCGAUUGCAUAUCGGUAGAGGAGCAAUGUGUACGGGCAGAAGCUGUAUCGAAAGGGGCAGUGGACUGUACACAAGAGAGAAUGCCGGCAUAAGUAGCGAGAGCAAAGUGAGAAACUUUGCCGUCGAAAGCCUUAGGUUUCCUGGGGAAGGUUCGUCCUCCCAGGGUAAGUCGGGACCUAAGCCGAGGCCGAAAGGCGUAGGUGAUGGACAACAGGUAGAUAUUCCUGUACCACCGACAGUCGUCUAAAUGAAGCAAUGACACAGAAGGAUAGUCAAACCGCGUUGAUGGAUAUAUGCGGCCAAAUCAUUAGGCUUAUGUGUAGUGAAGUACGCACAUAGUUAAGGCUGAGUGAUGAUGGGGAGUGAAAACUAGUAAUGAAGUUGAUGAUUCCACGCUGGCGAGAAAAGUUGCUAAAUAUGACUGAAGGUGCCCGUACCGCAAACCGACACAGGUAGGUGAGGAGAAAAUCCUAAGACGAGCGGGAUAACCCAUGUUAAGGAACUCUGCAAAAUCACCCCGUAACUUAGGGAGAAGGGGUACCACGCAAGUGGUCGCAGUGAAGAGGCCCAAGCGACUGUUUAUCAAAAACACAGGUCUCUGCUAAAUCGUAAGAUGAAGUAUAGGGGCUGACGCCUGCCCAGUGCUGGAAGGUUAAGGGGAUGUGUUAGCGCAAGCGAAGCACGGAACUUAAGCCCCAGUGAACGGCGGCCGUAACUAUAACGGUCCUAAGGUAGCGAAAUUCCUUGUCAGGUAAGUUCUGACCCGCACGAAUGGCGUAACGAUUUGGGCGCUGUCUCAACAUGGGACCCGGCGAAAUUGUAGUAUACGUGAAGAUGCGUAUUACCCGCGACUGGACGGAGAGACCCCGUAGAGCUUUACUGUAGUCUGAUAUUGGAUUUCGGUGAUUUAUGUACAGGAUAGGUGGGAGACUUUGAAGCAUAGGCGUCAGCUUAUGUGGAGUCAACCUUGGGAUACCACCCUUAAAUUAUUGAGGUUCUAACUUUGUGCCGUAAUCCGGGCAGAGAACAGUGUCAGAUGGGCAGUUUGACUGGGGCGGUCGCCUCCUAAAAUGUAACGGAGGCGUCCAAAGGUUCCCUCAGGAUGGUUGGAAAUCAUCCAAAGAGUAUAAAGGCAGAAGGGAGCUUAACUGCGAGACAGACAUGUCGAGCAGAUACGAAAGUAGGGCUUAGUGAUCCG